UAAGGCUUGAAUUGUGAUCUCAUAAACCUAUGAGAUCAUUAUUCAAGCUCUUCAAUA
RNAcentral lists this microRNA precursor (57 nucleotides) under Schmidtea mediterranea. RNAcentral's name for it is "microRNA sme-mir-753e precursor". Its record names the gene sme-mir-753e. It matches the Rfam family "mir-753 microRNA precursor family". The record is from miRBase by way of RNAcentral. Lineage: Eukaryota; Metazoa; Platyhelminthes; Tricladida; Dugesiidae.